UAAAAAUGAAAGCAAAUCUUAUUCAAAGCCAUAACGGACCUAUUUCUAUCAUUCCUCAGUUCAAAUGAGGUUGUACAAGCCUAUCUUUUUGUGACAGGUAAAAGAAACCAAAUAAACACUUGAGAAAACAUUCUACGUUCAUUAAAUUGUGAACUUGCAAAAUUAUAACAGGACAUUUUUAUGCAUCAGAAAAAAUCUUCUGAACUUAACUUCCAGACAGGUGAACAAUGUUUAUGGAGGAUUCCCAGUUUCGCAAAUUCACAAAGAUGUAUAGGAUAUUAAGUGUGUUAGUUCUCUCCCCCACCCCACAACAAGCCAUGCAAAUGGUAUCCAAAUGGUAUCAUGCUUUCACUGGUAUUGCCAUCUUUUCAACAACAUCUAACUUCAUCGAAAAGCAUCCUCAAUAAUAAUUUUUUCAUAUGGUUCUGAACCUCUCCUCAAAAUAGGAAUAGAUAAUUCACUAGCCCUUGAGGCUGAAACACUACCUCCAAUAAAAAAAAAAAAAACUCCUUUAGUAACAAAUUGAUGCAUUUAACCAUAUGCUUUCAAUUAUGUGCCCUUACCUUCGCAUGCAUCAUAUUUUGUAUCUUUAUAUUUACAAAAACUGUAUAAGAACCCCAGAUCCCUUCUCUCUGCUUCUCCACUAACUCUUUUCAAUUCCUUCUCUUCUCUAUGCUAAGAUGACACUACAGAAUAUAUUCAACACAGAUAUAUAAGUUCAAACUAUUAGCCAUAAAUAGAAAGCACGGAGAGAAAUAAUUUCUUGAUGCAUUCUUCUCCAUCAGUAUCUUGAUCACAUGGUUGAACUGUGCAGACAUACAACUUCUAGAACUGAAUGAAAGUCAAUCAUAAGAUAUUAAUUCCUGUUGCGCUUCUUCUGACCAAAACUAAUACUUGGAUAAGUCCAAAUUCCAAGUGAACACCAAUACUUUGAAAAACAACUUGAGAUGACUGCAUUAUAUCUUCAUCACAUUCAUUCGCACCUUUUACCCACAAUGCCUCUAUAAAAGCACUCAAUGGCAACAUAAUCAACAAACCAUAAUGAGACAAGAACUCCAUAAUGGAACCCCAUGAUAACCCGUCAUCAAAAACCAUAAAAUGACUUCAGGAAGCAGUGCAGAGGUACACAGUCAAUGUCCAUUAACAUGCACUGAUUACAUUUUCUCUAUUCACAUCAUGAAACCACAAGCAGAGUCGAAAUGCUACAAUGUGUAGAUGGAAGCACAGACCAUGAAACCACAAGUAUAAGGGCAGUCCAAUCAAGAAAGGAAGAUGCUUGCACAAGUUUCCAGAAAAAUAACCCUUAAAAAUGAAUAACACUAACACAAUAUUAUUCUUUGGAAUCGAUGCACAUCAUACUGUGGUAACAAUGUUAUAGUUCUGUUCUUACCAAAAGCUGCUAAGAUAUUCUCAAUACUAUUGAGAACCAGCACAAAUACUACAUAUCUGGCACAAUCAAUCUUAACAUGAAAAGCACCAAAUAAGCUGCAGCAUUGAACUAAGGGCACUCAGUCUGUUAGCACCGUUUCACCAUUCAAGUGCUAAAAACAUGCAUAAAAUAUGCUAGAUAUGAGGAGAAUCUGCAAACUAGAAACGUCAAAUCAACUAAAAGCUAUGAUAACAAGGAAACAAAUUCUAGGAAGAAAAUUCAUACAAUCUGGGUAAUGACAAAUCCCAGGAUUUUAUCCUAUGUUAUCAUGUUCGAAGUUAAACUAGACUGUUUUCUGCCCUAAUAUGGGAGUUGAAGAGCAUAAAAAGCAAAACACGCCAGACUAAUAACCAAAUAAUUCAAUCCUCUUAAGUGCGAGCCAGUAGAAAGAUCAUCAAUUCAUUAUUAUACAACAGAGGGAAGACAUACCAUCAACCAACCACAAUGAGCUAUCUCUGAAUAUUAAGCAUGGCUUUAGCCUCGCUCUGUUCCUCCAACAACAUUUCGCUGGCAUACUUACUAAGCAACUCCAUCUUCUUCUUCUCCACAACCAUCCUUUCGAUCUCCUUCUCAUCAGG
Molecule: long non-coding RNA, 2007 nt
Filed under: Carica papaya (papaya)
Lineage: Eukaryota; Viridiplantae; Streptophyta; Magnoliopsida; Brassicales; Caricaceae
Description: long non-coding RNA (CPAP_LNC009226)
Source: RNAcentral